RNAcentral lists this long non-coding RNA (1041 nucleotides) under Bos indicus x Bos taurus (hybrid cattle). RNAcentral describes it as "lncRNA (ENSBIXG00005023026.1)". Lineage: Eukaryota; Metazoa; Chordata; Mammalia; Artiodactyla; Bovidae. The record is from RNAcentral.
UCCCCACUCUCCUAUUGUGUUCACAAGAAUUCUUUUUUUUUUUUUAAAGCCACAAGGCAUGUGGGAUCUUAGUUCUUCAACCAAGGGAUCGAACCUUCCUCCCCUACAUUGGAAGCAUGGAGUCUUAACCAUUGGACCACCAGGAAAGUCCCAAUAUGAACUUCUAAAUUACCAUGUUCUCAGACCCUCAGCCCAUCUGAGCUGCUCCUUCUGGGAAGUGAGUGUACCCUGGCUGACAGCAUCAUAGCAACGAGGCCCUCAUGUCGCCUUGGAUCAGCUUUGAUUGACUUUCCACUUUGGAGCUAUUCUUGGUGAGAGACUGAUAUUUUAUUCAGUGUGUGAAAUGGCUGAUGGGAGUUAAAUGUGCUAAAAGAUUGCCCUGGGAAUACUGUUUCAAGGCCUGGUGUGAGGCAAAAAGAAGGAAAGCCUGACCUCUCCUUUGGGCUCUAGAACCUUCCACUGAAGCUCUAUUCAAGGUAGCCAAUUGCCAACUGUCUGUCCCUUUCCCCUCCUCCCAACUCUAGCAUGGAGAUCUUGACCAACCCUUGGCUCCUGAAUUUGGCUAACAGAGCUCAACAUCUCAGCUCCAGCUUGACUGCCUCCUUUGCACAACAAGUCACUUCCUUUAUCUGGGCCUCAAUUUCCCCACUGGUAAAAUGAAAGACUCAACUACAGUAAUGGUUUUCAAAGUGUGUCCCACAGAGUCCAGCAUUCUGCUGAGGAUCAAGCUAAGCUAAGCUAAGCUAAGUCACUUCAGUCGUGUCCGACUCUGUGCGACCCCACAGACGGCAGCCCACCAGGCUCCCCCGUCCCUGGGAUUCUCCAGGCAAGAACACUGGAGUGGGUUGCCAUUUCCUUCUCCAGUGCAUGAAAGUGAAAAGUGAAAGUGAAGUCGCUCAGUGGUGUCUGACUUCUAGCGACCCCAUGGACUGCAGCCCACCAGGCUCCUCUGUCCAUGGGAUUUUCCAGGCAAGAGUACUGGAGUGGGGUGCCAUUGCCUUCUCUGAAGGUGUCCACCAAAACUAUCACCUCUGCUUCGUU